This 253-nucleotide ribosomal RNA is filed under the name uncultured bacterium. Its description in RNAcentral is "partial 16S ribosomal RNA". It matches the Rfam family "Bacterial small subunit ribosomal RNA", at positions 524 to 776 of the family's 1533-position model. The record is from RNAcentral.
UACGACGGGGGCUAGCGUUGUUCGGAAUUACUGGGCGUAAAGCGCACGUAGGCGGAUUUGUUAGUCAGGGGUGAAAUCCCGGGGCUCAACCUCGGAACUGCCUUUGAUACUGCAAGUCUCGAGUCCGGAAGAGGUGAGUGGAAUUCCUAGUGUAGAGGUGAAAUUCGUAGAUAUUAGGAAGAACGCCAGUGGCGAAGGCGGCUCACUGGUCCGGUACUGACGCUGAGGUGAGAAAGCGUGGGGAGCAAACAGG